UGCUAGGCUGCAGGCUACAAAUUGAAGGAAAAAAGACUGCGCGGUCUUUCGAUGAUGAACACGACAUGCGGCAGUAGCAUGAAGCGAUCUCAGACAGUUUGUUUCAAACUGUUGCUCUCUGUCAACAGUGUGCAAGGCUCAGUGGAACCUUUGGCAACAUGUCAUGGAGGUGUGAAAUGAGAUAUGAAGAAAAACCAGGACAGGAUGAAGAACUGCCGCAUAUAUAAGGUGGCUGUGGCGUUGAUUCAUUAAGAUGAGAAACGAGAUCCAGAAGAUGAUGUAGAAGUGAUGGGGAGGGCAAAGGACAUCUCAAUGGAUUGAUGGACGGAAUGUGAGGAGAGUGCUUGCUGGCUGAAAAUGGUGUCUGUGCUAUGAUAUGAAGAAAAACCAGGACAGGAUGAAGAACUGCCGCAUAUAUAAGGUGGCUGUGGCAUUGAUUCAUUAAGGUGAGAUGUUCCCUUCACUGCUGAGGUUGAACAGGAGGGUCCUCCGGUUUGUACUGCUGCUGGAGCUGUGAUGAUUUCACGUUUUUGCCGUUUACCCAUCAGACCAGACUGGUGUGUUGACACUGACUAUCUGAGUCUCCAGCAACAGCACUUAUUCACUCUGUCAAGAGCUGGUCUUGGGCCCAGACUUAAGAGGGUAGAUUUUUUUUUUUUUUUUUUUUCUUUUCCAGCUCUUCCCUCUUAAUGAACCGCAUAUCUGACAUGCAUGUUUUUGUUUCACAGAAGAUGCCAAAUGAGGAUGUGUGAAGAUGCCUCUCCAGCCGUGAUCAAUGUUAAAUGUUGCUGCUUAAUUUUAUGCAGGAUUUCAUUUUACUCAAUCAUAUAAUGAUGUACAAAGUCUUGAUUAACUUGAUUUUUUUAAAAUGAUACAUUUCAUUACAUUGAAUUACCUGCUAAUUUCUGUAUAAAGAUGUUUCUUGGGAGCCUUUGGUCUUUGUCUUCAUUUCAUGUCUUC
Long non-coding RNA from Megalops cyprinoides (Indo-Pacific tarpon), 960 nucleotides. RefSeq lists it as uncharacterized. The record is from RefSeq and is a predicted model, not a curated record. The transcript is spliced from 6 exons. NCBI's taxonomy places the organism in Eukaryota, Metazoa, Chordata, Actinopteri, Elopiformes, Megalopidae.